GAUAUCGAAGAAGACCUUUCCCAUACAAAAGUACUUUAGAAGAAAGUGGAUCCCAAACUGAAAGGACCUUAUGUGGGAGGUCUUAUCUGGAAAAGUAUUGAUAUUGACCAAGAUGGAUGGCAAAAACCUGCCUAAUAUUGAGAAUUUUGAUUCAAGCAAUAAAUACUUCAUUUGAAAAAAAGAAACGAAAAAGAAAAAAGAAAAGAAGAACGAAAAAAGAAAAAG
Molecule: long non-coding RNA, 225 nt
Filed under: Gossypium raimondii (Peruvian cotton)
Lineage: Eukaryota; Viridiplantae; Streptophyta; Magnoliopsida; Malvales; Malvaceae
Description: long non-coding RNA (GRAI_LNC007274)
Source: RNAcentral